RNAcentral lists this small RNA (836 nucleotides) under Pongo abelii (Sumatran orangutan). RNAcentral describes it as "retained intron". The record is from RNAcentral. Lineage: Eukaryota; Metazoa; Chordata; Mammalia; Primates; Hominidae.
GAGUUUAUCGUCACCAGGUAAUAAUUUCAGGAUUGUGGCUUUAUGGCUCUCCCAUUCUUACGUGGAUCACAUGGAGUCUGCGCGCUCUGCUUUGAUUUGAACCCUUUGCCUUGGCUUCUAUUGGUUGGUGGCUGCACCUCUGCAGCUCCAGAAGAAACCACUAGCUCAGAAUCCGACGGCCACACGUUUCUCCAGCAGUUUCAUUCACAUUUCUCUUCUUCUGACCUCCAUGCCGAACAGACUAAAUGUAAAACCUGGAGACGUCCUGAAGGAAAAAUACCCUAUGCUGCAUGAUAAUUGUUUACUUUUCUAAUCCUAACCUACCUUUUUCCUUUUUUAUUUCUAUCUUUUGUACCUAUUUUUCUUAAUUCUUUUCCCCUAUGAGGGGAAAAUUAGUUUUAAAAUCAGGCAAGUAUUUGGGAUCCCUCAGCAUAUCUAGAACUUCUGAUCCAAUGCCUUUUUUUUAUUUUUCAGUCAGUUUGCUCCCAGGAAAGCCUUUUUGUGGAAAACAGUAGGCUCUUGGAAGACAGUAACAUAUGCAAUGAGACCUAUAAGAAAAGACAGCUCUUUCGGGGCAACAGAGAUGGCUCAGGGAGAACAUCUGGGAGUCGACAGAGCAGCUCAGAAAAUGAACUCAAGUGGUCUGACCACCAAAGGGCCUGGAGCAGCACAGACUCCGACAGUUCCAACCGCAAUCUAAAGCCCGCCAUGACCAAGACGGCGAGUUUUGGGGGCAUCACGGUGCUGACCAGGGGUGACAGCACUUCCAGUACUAGGAGUACCGGGAAGCUGUCCAAAGCAGGUUCUGAGUCUUCCAGCAGUGCAGGCUCCUCAGG